UACCUGCAGCUCGAGUGGUAACCGCUAUUAUUAGGCCUAAAGCGUCCGUAGCCGGUUUGGUAAAUAUCUGGGUAAAUCGUGAGGCUUAACUUCACGAAUUUCGGAUAGACUGCCAGACUUGGGAUCGGGGGAGGUCAGAGGUACUCCAGGGGUAGCGGUGAAAUGUUGUAAUCCUUGGAGGACCACCGGUAGCGAAGGCGUCUGACUAGAACGAGUCCGACGGUGAGGGACGAAGCCCUGGGGCGCAAACCGGAUUAGAUACCCGGGUAGUCCAGGGUGUAAACUAUGUGGGCUUUGUAUUGGAGGUCCCACGUGGGCGUCCAGUGCAGAAGAGAAGUUGUUAAGCCCACCGCCUGGGAAGUACGGUCGCAAGGCUGAAACUUAAAGGAAUUGGCGGGGGAGCACAGCAACGGGAGGAGCGUGCGGUUU
Molecule: ribosomal RNA, 429 nt
Filed under: uncultured archaeon
Lineage: Archaea
Description: bacterial SSU rRNA
Rfam family: Archaeal small subunit ribosomal RNA
Source: RNAcentral